CUUCUAGUGCCUCCAUAGGAAAGAAUGGAUCAACUCAGUCAACUGCACAGGCUAAAAAAGCUAGAACACCAAGAACUAGGACUUCAGCCGGUCUCAGACUAGAGGAAAUUGACCGACCGCUUAUAGUUCCCAAAGGCGUGUUAUGGGAAAGGCACCCAUACACCGCUCGUGAUCCAUCAACGGUGCAAGGUGCCUUAGUGCGGCAGAUGUAUCCACCGCCAAUUGGUCCAAAAAAUGACCAGAAACCAGUAUUGUGUUGGGAGGACUACAAGUGGUCCCCUGGCCCAGAAGUAAGACCAGCAGCUUCCAAAAUUGUGGAAGAAUUUUGGUGGCGUUUCAAGUGUGACCCAUUGGAGCAAGAGAAGGCAGAUGGUGUUUUGGAGGAGAACUUUACUAGGAAAGUGAAGCAGAUGCUACAUGAGGAAAAGGCGGCAGCCAUCAAAAGAUUAAUG
Long non-coding RNA from Triticum dicoccoides, 452 nucleotides. RefSeq lists it as uncharacterized. Lineage: Eukaryota; Viridiplantae; Streptophyta; Magnoliopsida; Poales; Poaceae. The transcript has 3 exons. The record is from RefSeq and is a predicted model, not a curated record.